GACGAACGCUGGCGGCGUGCCUAAUACAUGCAAGUAGAACGCUGAAGAGAGGAGCUUGCUCUUCUUGGAUGAGUUGCGAACGGGUGAGUAACGCGUAGGUAACCUGCCUUGUAGCGGGGGAUAACUAUUGGAAACGAUAGCUAAUACCGCAUAACAAUGGAUGACACAUGUCAUUUAUUUGAAAGGGGCAAUUGCUCCACUACAAGAUGGACCUGCAUUGUAUUAGCUAGUAGGUGAGGUAACGGCUCACCUAGGCGACGAUACAUAGCCGACCUGAGAGGGUGAUCGGCCACACUGGGACUGAGACACGGCCCAGACUACUACGGGAGGCAGCAGUAGGGAAUCUUCGGCAAUGGGGGCAACCCUGACCGAGCAACGCCGCGUGAGUGAAGAAGGUUUUCGGAUCGUAAAGCUCUGUUGUAAGUCAAGAACGAGUGUGAGAGUGGAAAGUUCACACUGUGACGGUAGCUUACCAGAAAGGGACGGCUAACUACGUG
RNAcentral lists this ribosomal RNA (497 nucleotides) under uncultured bacterium. RNAcentral's name for it is "partial 16S ribosomal RNA". It matches the Rfam family "Bacterial small subunit ribosomal RNA", at positions 28 to 507 of the family's 1533-position model. The record is from RNAcentral.